RNAcentral lists this unclassified non-coding RNA (405 nucleotides) under soil metagenome. Its description in RNAcentral is "partial contains 5.8S ribosomal RNA, internal transcribed spacer 2, and large subunit ribosomal RNA". The stretch from base 1 to 121 matches the Rfam family "5.8S ribosomal RNA", at positions 35 to 154 of the family's 154-position model. The record is from RNAcentral.
GAUGAAGAACGUAGCGAAAUGCGAUAAGUAAUGUGAAUUGCAGAAUUCAGUGAAUCAUCGAAUCUUUGAACGCACCUUGCGCCCUUUGGCCAUUCCGAAGGGCAUGCCUGUUUGAGUAUCAUGAACACCUCAACUCUUUAUGCUUUUCCAUGAUGAGCUUGGACUUUGGGGGUUUUGCUGGCCUAUGGUCGGCUCCUCUAAAAUAAAUCAGCUUACCGGUGUUUGGUGGGUAUCAUGGGUGUGAUAACUAUCUACGCUUGUGGUUUUUCCACCAGGUAACCUUCGACAGCGGAGGUUCACUGGAGCUCAUAGAUGUCUCUCCUCAGCGAGGACAGCCCUUUGAAUGUUUGAUCUCAAAUCAGGUAGGACUACCCGCUGAACUUAAGCAUAUCAAUAAGCGGAGGA